Molecule: ribosomal RNA, 626 nt
Filed under: marine bacterium HP24
Lineage: Bacteria; Pseudomonadati; Pseudomonadota; Alphaproteobacteria; Rhodobacterales; Paracoccaceae
Description: bacterial SSU rRNA
Rfam family: Bacterial small subunit ribosomal RNA
Source: RNAcentral
GGCUCAGAACGAACGCUGGCGGCAGGCCUAACACAUGCAAGUCGAGCGCUUUCUUCGGGGAGGAGCGGCGGACGGGUUAGUAACGCGUGGGAAUAUACCCAGUUCUAAGGAAUAGCCAUUGGAAACGAUGAGAUAAUACCUUAUAACGCCUUCGGGGGAAAGAUUUUAUCGGAAUUGGAUUAGCCCGCGUUAGAUUAGAUAGUUGGUGGGGUAACGGCCUACCAAGUCGACGAUCUAUAGCUGGUUUGAAGAGGAUGAUCAGCAACACUGGGACUGAGCACACGGCCCAGACUCCUACGGGAGGCAGCAGUGGGGCAAUCUUAGACAAUGGGCGCAAGCCUGAUCUAGCCAUGCCGCGCUGAGUGAUGAAGGCCCUAGGGUCGUAAAACUCUUUCGCCAGGGAUGAUAAUGACAGUACCUGGUAAAGAAACCCCGGCUAACUCCGUGCCAGCAGCCGCGGUAAUACGGAGGGGGUUAGCGUUGUUCGGAAUUACUGGGCGUAAAGCGUACGUAGGCGGAUUAGUAAGUUAGAGGUGAAAUCCCAGGGCUCAACCUUGGAACUGCCUUUAAUACUGCUAGUCUUGAGUUCGAGAGAGGUGAGUGGAAUUCCAAGUGUAGAGGUGAAA